This 254-nucleotide ribosomal RNA is filed under the name uncultured bacterium. RNAcentral describes it as "partial 16S ribosomal RNA". It matches the Rfam family "Bacterial small subunit ribosomal RNA", at positions 524 to 776 of the family's 1533-position model. The record is from RNAcentral.
UACGUAGGGUGCGAGCGUUGUCCGGAAUUAUUGGGCGUAAAGAGCUCGUAGGCGGCGUGUCGCGUCGGCCGUGAAAACCUGGGGCUUAACUCUGGGCGUGCGGUCGAUACGGGCAUCACUGGAGUUCGGCAGGGGAGACUGGAAUUCCUGGUGUAGCGGUGAAAUGCGCAGAUAUCAGGAGGAACACCGGUGGCGAAGGCGGUUUUCUAGCUUAUUCCUGACGCUGAGGCGCGAAAGCAAGGGGAUCAAACAGG